GUCUCUGUGGCGAAAUUGGUUAGCGUGUUCGACUGUUAAUUGAAAGGUUGGUGGUUCAAGCCCACCCAGGGACG
Molecule: transfer RNA, 74 nt
Filed under: Gadus morhua (Atlantic cod)
Lineage: Eukaryota; Metazoa; Chordata; Actinopteri; Gadiformes; Gadidae
Description: tRNA-Asn (GTT) (tRNA-Asn-GTT-12-1)
Rfam family: tRNA
About the family: Transfer RNA (tRNA) molecules are approximately 80 nucleotides in length.
Source: Rfam by way of RNAcentral